UCCAAAGUGUUUCUGCGAUCCCAGCCAGACAAAUUCGAAGCUUCAGUAAGAGCAGCUCUCCACCUCUCUACCUUUUUUUCAUCUGUAUGUUUCAGAAACGAUUGUGCAAAACUACCAGUCUGUUUCCUGACAUGCGAAGGAUCAACGUCAUAGAAUAUUGGCAAAACUAAUUGCCCUAGCGUUCUUCUACACUCCAUGAUCUUAACCAGCUCCUCAAGACACCAACUGGAGUCCGAGUACCGUCUUGAGAAGACGAUGAUAGAGAUCCUAGAACCUUGGAUUGCCUGCACAAGUUCGCUAGUUAUAUCUUCUCCUCUUCUUAGUUCGUCGUCAAUAAAGGCGUUGAUUCCGGCCUUUGUCAAUGCUUCGUAGAGGUGGCCCGUGAAGUUUUUACGUGUGUCUUCGCCUCUAAAGCUUAUGAACACUUCGUAGAGCGAGCCUUUUGAGAAGGAGGACAAGGACGGGGAGGCGGAGGAGGACGAUGAGGAUGAGAUUGAGGGUGAGGAGGUGGAGGAGGACGUUGAGGAUGAGGGCGAGGAGGAGGACGAGGACAAGGACGAGGUUUUAUCGGGGACGGAGAUAUUCAUUUGGCGAAAGACGAGGCCGAGGGAGCAGAGGAGGAAGAUGAGGACAUCAAAAACAAGACCGGAAUUGCGAUGUGCAUAGUGGUAGGACUGUAACACCAGCACCAUAAUUAACAGCUUCCCUAAGCUCGACCAGUUAUCCAUUGCCUUCAAUUUCUUUAGGCAAAUUGAAGGUUGUUUGGCGAUAUUGAUUUUUUUCUACCGGAACUACUUUCUUCUUCUUAUAAUUAAUCAACCCGCCUAGGCAGUGCAGUUGACUGUGGACUUGAGUAUUGGUAAAUUGACUUAUGGUCCUACACCCUAAAUUCUACGAGGUGCUCUUUUUUCUUCCACUAUAAAGCCAAAUUAGACACAGUAAAUUGACUUGUGGUCCUACAUCCUAAAUUCCAGGAGGCGCCCUUUUUUUUCCACCUUAUCGCCAAAUUCUACGCGGUGUUUUAUGGUUCACACAAUGAUGAGAGAUUUUUCAGUUUAUAGGAACACAGUCCAGUACACUGUACACCACUUAUAAAACAACUUCAAGAGGGCUAGUUUGAAAAUAUCCUACCGCAAAAUUUGAUUUGGUUUGGACCAAAUUUUGAUUUAGAUGAAAACUAGCAAGAGUGUCCGCGCGUUGCUGCGGGUGUUUAAAAUGUUUUGAUAAUAUGUACAUACAGAAAACAUCAUUUAUUAAAGCUAGACUUCUAUACCUAAGAUAGAGGUUGACAGUGAUCGUAAUUAUCAAAAGUUAGCAGUGUCCAACUGCUCACUGUUCAAAAGAUAGAGAUGCUAUAAAAGCUUAAUUCAUGUACAUAAGUUCAUAGUAUCAUGUACUCAAAAUAAUCAUAGUAUCGAAAGAUUGGCAGUCUUCAACUGCUCAUUGUUCAAAUACGAAAAUAUACAUAUGUCCAUAUCAGAAGGUUGGCACCGCACAUCUGUUGUGUUUAUGUUUUUCCUGUUCAAUCUCUGGUCUUGCUUGUUUGGGAAUGGCCAUCCUUUUUCUUGGCCACCAUGCUGUUGAAUUGGUGCCUAUUCUUUUUUGCUUUGCCCAUGAUUUUUCUCUUGCUAUAUAUUACGAAUUGGAAUUAGUAAGAAUUCCAUAUAAAAAACUAAAUUUGUCAAUCUAUUUAACCAAGAAGUAUAAUCCAGCAAGGUUAUUUUCUCUUUGUUUUUAUCAAAAUGAAUUCCACUGUUCCCAUCUAUUUGCACAUCCCUUUAAAUAAUCCAAAAACACAAAAGAAAUAUAUCUUGAUCCGUACCAAUUAAUGAUUUCCCAUUUACUUAAGUCAAACGUAGCCAAUGAAUUGAUGAAGGAGCUAAAAAAGAGAGACAAAAAAAAAAAAAAUCUCUAUUAUUCAAUUAUAUGGAGAUUUACCUGAUUGUACAAAAGGUUUGAAAAUUACCGUAAAAUUUGAAAUAAGAGAUGAGAUGGAGUGGAAAUCACAUACCAGCAUCAGGCUUAAAUUUGUAGUGCUCAUCUAAGAGAGCAGUGAUAGUGUUGAUGAGAGUGUAGGGAGAGAAACACAAUGCAAAUUGUAAGAGUUUGAGAGAAACCGCUUGAGGGACACUGCAGAUUGAUCGUUGAGAUUUGAGAAACCGAGGAAGUUGCAAUUUGAGACGAACUGCUUUGCAUCAAACGUGGUGGAGUUUCUCUCCUCCACGUUUGAAUAGAAGAGGUAGUUUCAGAGCUGUCUACAAUUAGUCCUAUCAGGAGCUUCUGCACUGGUUGAUGUCUUGGUCUUUUCCUUAGUCGCAUAUGCAUUGUAGACUUGGGUAGAUGAAAAGUAGAAAGAAAAUAAAAAUAUAAAGUCAAAGUUACUACUUAACUAUCUAUGUUGAUUCAUGUCCCACGCAUAAUAAGAAUGGUGAAUCAUUUUUCAUCUCGUGCACUGAUUUGUCAUUGUCAUUCGAAUUCACAAGUCAAUUUACUCCGAAUUUCUUAGUUAUCACCAGGGAAAGAAAAGUUAUAAGCAAAAUUCUAUUUCUAGAUUUUCUCACUAAACUACCUGUUAAACCAUGGUAAAUCAAAAUGGGAAAAAAUUAUAUCUACCUUUGUCAAACCUCUUGGGAUUCAAGUCCACCCGACUCCACCCCAAUACUCAGUGGCGCCCCAGAAAUCUUGCACCUUCAGUAGCCAAGAUCAUGCAUGUAUCAGUAUGAAUACGGAAGAGAAAAUAAAUGCAAUUUAUUAGAAUAAAGAAUAUGGGAUCAACAAAGUUUGUCCCAACUUACAGCGAGGCCAAUAAACAGCAACUGAAGAUAAUUUUUCGUUUUGCUACAUGAGGGGGGCACCCAAAAAUCCAAACCUGUCGAUACGGCACAACUGAGGAUGCCAACUUUAUCCAACUGAGCAAGGGGCUUGAUCUUGGAAAGACGGCCAUAAUGAACAACAAUGUAUUCACUUAAGUAAAAGUGCCAAGACGGUGAUUGGUGAACGUUAUUUCCCAACUGGGUUAGUUUGGCUAUUCCUUUCUAUUGAAAAGGAGUUAGCUGUCUGCGUGAGUCACCACAUUUUGCUUCAUGGCAAAAAUUUGAGGGAUCAAUAGUGUAUGGCCCUGAAUCCCAAAAGGAAAAAAUAACUCAACUAAGUAUAUACAAAGGGUAAGAUCAACAACAUUCCAUAGAACAAUUAAACGCCACUCUCUCAGUUUCGAGUACAACUGCACUUUGUGAUUAAAAUUCACACAUGUUUCACAUAUGCUAAGAACUAAUGUUCCUUAGGUUUUUCAUCACGAACGACAUUUGCAAUCUACUUUUCGAUUUCAAACCUUAAUUAUUCAUUGCCCAUUAAGAAAUGACUAUAUUUCAAACCUUAAUUUUAUAAUCCAAUGGUUUAUUCCUUCACAUGGAUAUUUGAUAUUGAUUUUCAUUUUUUCUACCGGAACUACUUUCUUCUUCUUAUAAUUAAUAAACCCGCCUACGCGGCGCAGUUGACUGAAGACUUGAGUCUUGGUAAAUUGACUUGUGGUCCUACACCCUAAAUUCUACGAGGUGCUCUUUUUCUUCCACUAUAAUGCCAAAUUAUACACGGCGUUGACUUGUGGUUCUACACCCUAAAUUCUAUGAGGCGUCCUUUUUAUUCUACCUUAACGCCAAAUUCUACACGGUACCUUAUGGUUCACACAAUGAUGAGAGAUUUUUCAAUUUAUAGGAACAGUCCAGUACACUGUACACCACUUGUAAAACAACUUCAAGAGGGCUAGUUUGAAAAUAUCCUACUGCAAAAUUUGAUUUGGUUUGGACCAAAUUUUGAUUUAGAUGAAAGCUAGCAACAGUGCCUGCGCGUAAUGUUUUGAUAAUAUGUACAUACAGAAAACAUAAUUUAUUAAAGCUAGAUUUCUAUACCUAAGAUAGAGGUUGACAGUGAUCAUAAUUAUCAAAAGUUGGCAGUGUCCAAUUGCUCACUGUUCAAAAGAUAGAGAUGCUAUCUAUUAGAAUACGGAAGAGAAAAUAAAUGCAAUUUAUUAGAAUAAAGAAUAUGGGAUCAACAAAAUUUGUCCAAACUUACAGCAAGGCCAAUAAACAGCAACUGAAGAAAUUUUUUUGUUUUGCUACAUGAGAGCGGCACCCAAAAAUCCAAACCUGUCGAUACAGCACAACUGAGGAUGCAAACUUUAUCCAACUGAGCAAUGGGCUUGAUCUUGGAAAGAUGGCCAGAAUAAACAACAAUGUAUUCACUUAAGUAAAAGUGCCAAGACAGUGAUUGGUGAAAGUUACUUCCCAGCUGGGUUAGUUUUGCUAUUCCCUUCUAUUGAAAAGGAGUCAGCUGUCUGAGCGAGUCACCACAUUUUGCUUCAUGGCAAAAAAUUUGAGGGAUCAAUAGUGUAUGGCCCUGAAUCCCAAAAGGAAAAAAUAACUCAACUAAGUAUAUAUAAUAUUAAACAUAUAAAGGGUAAGAUCAACCACAUCCCAUAGGAGAACAAUUAAACGUCACUAUCUCAGUUUCGAGUACAACUGCACUUUGUGAUUAAAAUUCACACAUGUUUCACAUAUGCUAAGAACUAAUGUUCCUGUAGGUUUUUCAUCACGAAUGACAUUUGCAAUCUACUUUUCGAUUUCAAACCUUAAUUAUUCAUUGUCCAUUAAGAAAUGACUAUAUUGCCCGGAAACUCUACUCAUAGUUUAUAAAUCUGCAAUUUUCAAAGCUUAAGCAUCUUAAGCAUCUUAAUUGGAUUCCCUACAAUUUGGUGGAGGUUGAAUGGAUUUUUCCUCCCAUUAUACCCUCGGAAAAUAUAAAUAAUCAUUGGAGACUGAGCAACACACACUCAUAAACAUAAUGCAUACAGAAGAAUAAAAUUGACAGAAAACAGAUCAAUGCACAGAGAGAUAGAGGCAUAAAGAGAGAACUUACAUCAGCUGUGCUCUCAAAUACAUAUGGUAAUCUGCAUACGAAGAAACAUAAUACUGAAACAGUUAUAAAUCAUCCUAUUCAAAUAAAUCAAACGAAAUGCAUAAAGAUUACCUUAGUUUCUGAUUCUAUGAUUAUGUAUUUGACUCCACCUCCACGUUGUUCUUUGGUUGUCUCUUUUACUGAAUUAAGUAAUCGACUGAAUUACUUAAUUCAACUGAAUUUAAUUAGAGAGAUGAAAGCUUCGGUAUAAAAUAAUAUUUUAUGCUCUACACGCAUAGCAAAUCAUCAGUAACCUCCAAGAACCUAAUUGUACGAUAAACACUCUAGCAUUAACUACCCAAGAAUUAUAAUCAUGCUUAUUGCCAAAAAUGAUAAACAUGUUUACCUUGACUUCAUUUUUAAUGGCAUAUGUAAUAUACUUUCCAUCUGCAUUAAAAUAACCUACUUCGUUCUCCUCGUUAAUCAAGUUGAAAGGUUCUGUUUAAAUCCCAUCCACAACAAAGUCCUUGUAAUCCUGCCAAAAGAUACCACCAAUCAAUGGCUAUCGCUUCCAUUGAUCCAAUUAGAAGAAGUAUCCAACAAUCUCCUCGACUGAAAAAAUUCUUGCCAAUUUAGAAAAGAACUAUUCCAAAUUACGGAUGUACUCGAUUAAUUUAACCAAGAAUAUGCACGGCACCACCACUAUUAAGAAGCAUCAACAUACAAAGACAAAAGUUUCUACAAUCAGUUGUUAAAUUGCAAUCAAAAACAUGCAUAGAAAGAAUAAAAAUGAGAACAAAGAUGGCAAAACAAUUAACCACACAUGUUGUUUAUCCAAAAAUGCUGAGAGCUUAUGCUUCUGUGACACAACGAGCUUCCUGCAUCACAUAUACUAGAUCAAGUAGGCGUCAUGACAUAAAUUGAAAAGCAGACAAGAUCAAGAAGAUCCAAAAUUAUUGAUAUAUAAUUAUAGUAAAUAAUUGCACAUCAAAAACUCUAGAGGAAGAUAGAUGAAUCUCCAUAUCAAGAAACCAAAGAACAUGACACUACUAAGGACCGUUGCUUCACAUGCAUAUCUGCUACUAUUUUAAAACAAUUAUGUUAGAACAAGUAUAAGAGAGAGGACAAAGUACUACUGAACCGAAAAUGAAAAGGGGGAAAACCUGGAAUGCCAUGCAGUGCCGAAAUCACUACUUAGCAACAAAAGUGCCCUGCUAUGCUUCAUGACGUCACUUUCAAAACUAUUAUCCAAAGAUAAUGACACAUACAAAGACUUCUCAUCCCCAGAUACAUCUGAUCUGCUGUUAAGUGCCUUAUAUUGUCUACUUGCUGCCAUAAACGCAUGCUUAGCAGCCUCAUACAACCGAAAAAGAACUUGCGUUGAAAUCCCCAACUUAUGAUCCCUAUUCCAAAAAACUGAGUUGCCAGCAGCUGAGCGCAGCACCGUUGUCAUCAGAUGAGGGUGAGGAAUGGCCUGCCUCUUUAUUCAGCUUGGAAAACUGGGACGGGUGAAGAAAUCCCACUUCAUCUUUGGGUUCAAUCAAGAGGAAAGAACAAUAUAUAAGACGACGGCAUUACUACAUAUUCCAAAAAUAUAACUGAGAACCCUUCCAAAAUUAAAAAAAAAAAGAGAGCACCUCUACACAAAAUCAUAAUGCACCCACAAUUACACACACACACCAAAUUCAAAAACUUAGCAUAAGAAUAAGGCAUACUUGGACCGUUAUCGAAAUCCCAGCCUCAGUAACAGUAAUGAACUAACACUGAAUCCACGUUUUGAAUUUGAACUAACACUGAAUGGACAUUUUCCAAAAAAAUAUGAAUCCAAGUAAAAUCAAGCUGUUACUUUUACAUAUGCAUGGAUCAACUCAUGCGGGAUCAAAUAUCUGUACUUUUCGACACGGAAAUUACACUUUGUGAAGGUUCACCAACCAAGCACGAAUAAAACCUAUAUAUACAAAACUCUAGUGGCAUUUCACCGAACACAAAGUCUGCGUCUUUACUGAAAACAGAGAAGCUAAACCUGCAAUCACUGAUUAUCUACUAACAUACAAGUACGAAUUACUUACAUUUGGGGAUCGGAUUCCAAGAUACGUUCGAAUUGAUUCAGAAGAUCGACCGUGUUUGCUUCGGAACGACGCAGCUCCUCUCCUUCCAUAUUUUCUGUUUGUUUCCCGAGAAAAUCCAAGGGAAAAAGAAAACCCUAGGGAAAAUGACAGCUUUAUACGAUGUUGGAACAAAAUGGUAAAUUAAUUUAAAAAAGAACUACGUGGAAGUUUUUUAUUCUUUGUUGCAAUAAGUUGCAGGAAAAAGUAAUGAUGCUGGCCGUAGAUGAUCCAGUUUUGGGCCAAUGUCACACUGACACGUAUCCACCUUCUUCGACUCUUCUUCUCUUGUGUAAAAUUUUGGAGCUGCUAUGGCUAUUCUCUCUCUACAAAUCUCUCUCUCUCUCUCUUCUGAGCAUCAAUCGCCGAAGGAUUUUCUCUCAUUUUCCCUCACUUUCUCUCCCGUUUUCUCUCUCGCCAAACACUCCAGUUCCUCAAGGAUCUGAGGUUUCUUCCACUUCAAAUCUCACCUUUUUUUUUUCUCUUCGAAUCGGGCAAAAAGGCAUUGAUUUGAAACGAAUAUUAUAAUAGAAAGGAAAGAGCUUUGGGGGGAUUCGAAUUUCCGAAUCUAGGGUUCCGUGAUCUGUAUAUGCGUCCGAUGACUAUGGGAAUCGUGGUGGAAGCGGCGUCGUUUGACGCCGAGCUGUUGCAGCUCAAUGAGGUGUCCCCUUUGGCCCUCAAAUCGAAUCCGAGCUCAAUGAGGCAUUGAUUUGUAAUUAGUUGUUGGAAAUGCUAAAGUUUAUAUAUAUAUAUUUUUUAAUUAGGAUACCUAUGAUUUACAUACUACAUAUUGUUUCAUCUUUUCGGAUGCAUGACAGUUUUUUUCAUUUUCCCGACUUUAUGGUUGCAGGUGACACAACUGCUAACUGAAGCAAAGGCAGGUAGGCCCCUGAAUGUUCAGGGAAAUUCUUCUAGUCCACAUGCCACUGCAGGCAGUACUUUGCCUUCUAUGUUUCCAGCAGGCAGUGCACCACCACUGUCACCAAGAAGUUCAUCUGGAUCCCCUCGCAUUAUGAAACAGAGGAUCGGUCCUUCUCAUUUAGGUUCUCCCCUGAAAGUAGUUAGCGAAUCAGUUAAAGAAGUGAUACCUAUUAAACUAAACAUGGUAAAUACCAAUAUUAAACUAAACAUGGUAAAUACAAAAAAUAUAUAUGAUAAUAUUUGGGAAUUUCUUAUAUAUUCAUUAAUCUUCAAAGUGGAGUAUAUAUAGGAGUUACAAUUGGUAUUACAUAUGUACUUCACCAAUGUGGGAACAAUAAACUGCUAUUUACACUUUAACUAAUGUAUAACUCGCAACACUCCCCCUCAAGUUGGUGCAAAGAUGUCACGCAUGCCCAACUUGUCAAGCGAGUCGGAAACGCACUAUUAGACACAGCCUUAGUAAGAGCAUCAGCAAGUUGAUCUUCAGAUCUCACAAACGGAAACAUAAUAAUUCCAGCAUCCAAUUUUUCCUUAAUGAAAUGUCGAUCAAUCUCCACAUGUUUUGUUCGAUCAUGUUGCACUGGAUUAUGAGCAAUCUCAAUAGCAGCCUUGUUAUCAUAAUGAAGUUUCAUAGCACCUUUGUGUUUAAACUCAAGAUCUCUCAACAAUUUUUCCAACCACAACAACUCACAUACACCAUGAGACAUACCACGAAACUCAGCUUCUGCACUUGACUUAGCCACCACUUUUUGUUUCUUGCUUAUCCAAGUAACUAAAUUACCACCCACAAACAUAAAGUAUCCAGAUGUAGAUCGCCGAUCAGUGAUAGAAUCUGCCCAAUUUGCAUCUAUAUACCCUUCGACAUUCAAAUGAUCAUUCUUGGAGAAAACCAGGCAUCUGCCAGGAGCCAUCUUCAAGUACCUCAAAAUACGGGUUACUGCAUCCAUAUGAGCUUCACUAGGUGAGUGCAUAAACUGACUUACCACACUAACUGCAUAAGCAAUGUCAGGGCGAGUGUGAGACAAAUAAAUUAAUCUCACCACAAGCCUUUGAUACCGUUCCUUAUGAGUAGGAACUUGAUCUGGAAAUAAGCCCAGACGAUGAUUCUGCUCAAUCGGAGUAUCAACAGGUUUGCAAUCUAACAUACAUGUUUCAGCUAACAAAUCAAGAACAUACUUCCUUCCAAGAAAAUACUUCAAUUCACCCAAUUCUUUCAUCUCAAACUCAGUAGCUAGGUACUUUUGAAGGUGCUGUAUCUCUUUCUGAUCAUCACCAGUCACUAUCAUGUCAUCAACAUAAAUAAUCAAUGCAGUUAGCUUACCAUUUUGUCGCUUUAGAAACAAAGUAUGAUCUGAAUGACUUUGGAUAUACCCAAACUUCUUCAUUAAACUUGUAAACCUCCCAAACCAUGCUCUAGGAGAUUGUUUCAAACCAUACAAGGCUUUUCGUAACCUGCAUACAACACCUUUUUCAGGAGACGUUCCAAUACCAGGUGGGAGAUCCAUAUACACUUACUCCUUAAGAUCACCUUGAAGGAAAGCAUUCUUAACAUCAAACUGCAACAGAGGCCAAUCCUGGUUUGCUACUAAGGACAGAAGAACACGCACAAUAUUAAGUUUGGCAACAGGAGCAAAGGUCUCCUGAUAGUCCACCCCAUAGGUUUGAGUAUAAUCCUUAGCAACUAAUCUGGCUUUAUACCGAUCAAUAGAAACAUCUACUUUGUGCUUAAUAGUAAACACCCAUCUACAUCCAAUGACUUUCUUCCCAUUUGGUAAUGGAACCAAAUCCUAAGUAGAAUUCUUUUUCAAAGCUUCCAUCUCAACUUUCAUGGCAUUAACCCACUUAGGGUCAGACAAAGCAUCUUGCAAUUUUGUUGGAAUUGAUACACUAGAUAGCUGACAUAUGUAAGAUGCAUAUGGUUGGGACAAACGAUGAGUAGACACAUAAUUGUUGAUAGGAUAUUUGGCUUUAACAUGCAUAUCAGGCUCAUAUUGUACUUUAGGUUUUCCACGAUUAGCUCGUGGAGGCAACUGAUAAGUAGAAGAAUCGUCAGAAUUUACCUCAUGUAUGCCACCAUCUUAUACCAAACUGUUAGAAGAAUCAUCACUGGACGAACCAUCAUCAGACAACUCGUUAGACAUAUCAGCAGCAGGCAACCGAUCAUCAGAAGGUAAUUCAUCAGACAUACUAACAGGCAAUUUGCUGGGCACAUCUGAUUUGUCGUUAGUAGAAAUAGUUCCGGGAAUGACAGGUGACCGAUCACUAUCUAUAACCGACUGAUUAGUAUCACGCAACAUAAUAGGUUAUGUUCCCAACUCUGUCUGUAACACAUCAUCCAUAUCAUCUCUUCGAAUCUGCACUUCACUCCUCCUCUCCCCCUGAAGUGGAAAGUCGGAAGAGGGCUUUACAAAAUACGAAACUUCCUCUUGGAAGGUGACAUCCAUGGUAAUAUAAGUUUUUUGAGUCGGAGGAUGAUAACACUUAUAGCCUUUUUGAUUGUUAGCAUACCCAAUAAAGACACACCGGAGAGCACAUGCAUCAAGUUUACUCCGCUGAUGAGAGUAGACAUGCACAUACACAAUACACCAAAACACUUUCGGAGGAAGCUUUGAGACAGAAACAAGAGAAACAUGUUUUUGUAGCACAUCAAACGGUGUCUGAAAAUCAAGAACCCUACUUGGAACACGAUUGAUCAAAUACACAGCAGCCAAAACAACAUGACCCCACAAAUGAUUAGGAACACAUUUAUCCAACAUCAAGGAGCGAGCAACCUCCAUUAUUUGACGAUUCUUCCGUUCGGACACACCAUUUUGUUGGGGUGUAAACGGAGUAGUUGUCUGGUGAAUCAUACCAUGAUCACGGAAAAAACAUGCCAAAAUGUGAUUCACAUAUUCUCCUCCGUUAUCAGACCUAAAGACCUUAACUUUGGUCUGAAACUGAGUAGACACCAUUGUACAAAAUUCUUGAAGAAGUAACGGAACAUCACUCUUAUUUUUCAUCAAGAACACCCAAGUUACCCGAGUACAAUCAUCAAUAAAAGUAACAAACCAACAGAAUCCAUUAGAAGUAACUUUCGCAGGACCCCACACAUCAGAAUAUAUCAAAUCAAAUGACAAAGUAGCUGUAGAAUCACUUACAUGAAAUGAAGCACAAUGACUCUUAGCCAUGACACAUGUUUCACACUUGAACUCUGAAUCACUACAAGUGCGAAACAAAGAAGGAAAUAGAUGCUUCAUAUAACUGAAUGAUGGAUGUCCUAAUCGUCGAUGCCAUAACCAAAUUUGAUGUCUGUCAUCCACUUUAGCUCUUAAACUUGAUGAUUAUUUGAACCGGAAACAACAGUAUCCUCCAUAGUCAAGAUGUACAAACCCCCUAUCCUUUUACCAUAACUAAUUAUCUUCUAAGUUUGAAUAUCUUGAAAAUAACAAUACGUAGGGUAGAAGUGAGCAGAACAAUAUAAAGUAUCAAGAAGUUUUCCUACCGACAAAAGAUUGUACUUAACAUCAGGAACAAGUAAAGCACGAACCAGUGAUAAGGUUGGAGUCAGAGAGAUAGUGUCUUCACCCUUCACAGGGGAAAGUGCUCCAUUUGCACUAGUAAUAUACGGAUCACGAACAUAGUCACAUAACUCAUCAAACACUCUAGGGUCACUAGUCACAUGAUCAGUGGCCUCAGUAUCAAUUAUCCAUUUAUUUGUUCCACCAAGAUGCAUAACAACACUAUGAUUAUAUUGAGCCAUUGAACAAAAUCACGAACAAUAAAAGCACAAAAGAUACGCAACGGAAUGAAAACAAUUUAUCAGAAUACUGUAGCAAUCACUGUUCACGGCACUGUAGCAAAGACUAUUCACGGCAAUGUAGCAAUCACUGUUCACGGCACUGUAGAAGACCACAGUUCACGCACUAUAGCAAAGCACUGUACUGUAGCCCGACACUUUUUUUUUUUUUUUCCCACACGGAGGAAAUCACGAAAAAUGUGGGCACAAAAUUAAAGCACACAGGUCACCAAGAGCGAACUGCUCUGAUGCCAUAUUAAACUAAACAUGGUAAAUACCAAAAAUAUAUAUGAUAAUAUUUGGGAAUUUCUUAUAUAUCCAUUAAUCUCCAAAGUGGAGUAUAUAUAGGAGUUACAAUUGGUAUUACAUACGUACUUCACCAAUGUGGGACAAUAAACUAUUAUUUACACUUUAACUAAUGUAUAACUCGCAACAAUACCUCAGGUUUGACAAAUCCUAAUCCUUUUCGGCAAUAAGAGUGGCACUAUUUUUUAUUUCUUUUGUUUUGCGUUGUAUUUGUCAUUUGAACUAUCUAGCUGUAAUGGUUUUCUUUAAUUAGAGGGAAAGGUAGGUUAUUAUUUCUAACUUGGAUUUUGUACCACUUGCAGUUUUACUUUCUAAAUGGUCGCCCGCCUCCAAAUGAACUAAAAGAUCAAUGCUUAUUAGAAUCAAUCAGUUUUUCUCUGGUAACUCAGACGGACUGCAGAUUCAUGGUGAGAUAUACUUAAGAUAUGAGUUUGUGUUGUACAACUAGAAUUAGCUUUUAACUGUCUCCUUGGUCGUACCCAGUGCACAAGGCUCCCGCUUUACGCAGGGUCUGGGAGAGGUGAAUGUCGGCUAGCCUUACCCCCAUUUAUGGAGAGGCUGCUCCCAAGUCUCGAACCCGAGACCUACCGCUCAUGGGCGAAGGCACUUGCCAUCGCACCAAGUGCGACCUCUAACUGUCUCCUUGGUGUAUCAGAAUUUAAAUCAGUUGCUAAGGAUAUAUGCAAGCGGCCCUCAUUCUUCUCCAUAUCUCUUUUCAGAAAAAUUGAUGCUAAGAGCAGUUCCAGCGUUGGCUGGUGCUCGGGGGAAAGGCUAGUGAACAGGGCCAGAUAGCCCGACUGAAGUGCUCCAGCGUGUGGGAACUCGAGGGACAGGGCAAGACUGAGCAACAAGCCCGUGAGGAAUUGCUAGCCCGCGAGCCCGAGUGGAUGUGACGCCAGGGCUGACGUCAUCCUGGCGUCAGCCCAAUUAUAUAUAUAUUUUUGUCAGGCGCGUGCCCCUCACCUGCACGUGGGGGCGCGUCAGCCAACACCUUUUCAGGAGCCGGGCCCACGUCACAAUUUGCCAAUGUUACUGUUGGAAAGACACGUGGCUUCCCACGGUCCGUUUGAUCUCAAUGGUCUAUUGGUAAUAUUCACUUUUUGUCAUUGCUUGUGAAAGGGUGUAGUUUCAAAGUUGUUAUCCCCACCCCCUUUCAAUAUCUUUCCUAGCUGUGGUUUAUCUUAUGUAACCACAACUAUUUUCCUUUACUUUUAAAAUGUCUCGAUUCUUGUUCACCAACCCUAUUACCCCACUUUAAGGUGCAUGAAUCUUUCUCUCUGAAGUGGAUAAACAAUGCCCUUUAUAAGGGUUGAUUGCGGAGAAGGGGUCAAGUAGCUUUCCUGGAGGCGCUUUUUUUUUCUGAGCUGACUUGUAGUGAACUCUUGGUUUAACUAAUAUUGUUACCUCACCUUACUAUAAAUUCUGGGUGGCCCCUGCUCUAGUCAUCCGGACAAGAAAACGGUACAGCUUGAGGAGAAGCUUGAGAUAGAUAUCAUCGGACUUGGGGCGCUUCGUCUUCUUGCUUUUACCUCCUGCCACGAGAACAAUCUUCAUUGUUGUUGCUGGUGUUGAAGUUCGGUUGCUCGGGACGCCUUUCGUUGGGCCUUUAUUUGGCCAAUUCAUUGAUCAAAUAUGGGAUCCUGUACUGCCAUAUGGUUGAGCCAACGAUGAAAACAGUAGGAGAAAAAGAGUGAACCCUCCCCCCCCCCAAAAAAAAAAAGUCUUGUACCCAUGAGAAAGGCUUGUAAUGGUACCAUCAUUGUUGGCAACAAUUUUUGCUGGUGGUGGUUACGACAAGGAAGUUGGGAACAAUGAUGUGGCUGAGGGCUUUGCAGAUCUUAUUGCUUAUGGUCCUUGGAUCUUGGCUAACCCAAACUUUUUUACUUUAUGUUUAUUCAGCUUUAAUUCUGAGGGUAUUUAAGUCUAUUUAAGUGGAUUUUCUGUUAUUUUUGAAAGAUUUUAUAAAAAAUGACAUUUAUGAAAUUGAGUGUUAAAUUUUGGCUAUUAUUGAUAAAAACUCAAUAAAAAUUAUCCCGUAAGUAUACAAGAUUAAGUUUAAGACGUCUUAAUAAUCAGAAGAUGCCUUUAUACAUUAUCCUUUCAUCAAUCAUGUUACAUGACAAAAAAAUGAGGUGUUGACUUAUAAGAACUAGCUAAAGGUAGCAUAUUCCUUUCUUUCUUUGUGGUUUCAACCUAUCCUUGCCCUCCUUACUAAAUCAUGUAACACAAAUGCUAUUCACACAUCCCAUUUUAUUUCUCACACAAAUCUUGAUAAUUUAUGUCUGUUGAUCUUCUUCAAUUCAUUUAAUCUGAUGGUCGAAAAUUAAAAGAGUAUGUAGGAAGUAAAAUGGAAUGUGUGGAUAUCACACCCCUAAAUUAAUUGCGACAAAAUAGAUUUUCAAAUACUUUUAUACAUUUGAGUUUGAGCUCUAUUUUUAUCAAUUACUUUAAUAAGUUGGCGACUACAUGAUGGGAGGAGGCAUGCGUUGAUGCUUAUAGUUGGCGACUACAUGAGAAGAAGAGGGAUUCUCUGAACAUAUUAAAAACCUUAAAUGCAUUAAUAAGUUAAAUUAAACCACCACAGAAACAAGAAAGUUCAAAAAGAGAGAGCAUAUUAUAAACAGAUCAAGGCAUGCAAAAAAAUACACUCUAUCUGCAAACUAGCUGAUUAAACCAGAAAGUUUCCUAGCUUACAUAGUCGUCGUCGUCUUGGGCCUCCUCAUCAUCACCCUCUUCAUUAUCAUCCGCAACUUCUUGGUCCUGAUCAUCGUCUUAUUCCGCCUCGUCCUCAUCAACACCCUCAUCAUUAGCAUCAGCACAUUGUUGGUCCUCAUCAUCGUCUUGUUCCUCUUCCUCCUCAAAAUCCUCCUCAUCAUCCCCAUCAAAAUCCUCAUCGUGUUGUCAUCAUCCUCAUCAAAAUCAUCAUCUUCAUAAUCCUCGUCAAAAUCAUCGACUUCGGUAGAAAUUUCUUGUAAGGCCCGUUCGUAAGGGAUAUAAUGGUAAUCAAAAAACGAACCUUUGAAAGUCAUAAGUUUGUCGCAUACUAAACGUACCCCUAUUUUCUUCACCGGACAAUGUGCAAUAACAUGGACCAAAUCGCUUUCUUCCAAAUUGAACUCGAUUUCCGACAACGAUAAAUUUGCCAGCCAAAUGAUCUCUUCAAAGAAAAAAAAUCUCCUAGUUCAACACAAAAACUAGUACCCUUGGUGUGAUUAAUAACAUAAAUAUAACUCGGCCUGAUGUAAUCACGAGGAACAAAAGCCAGGCACACAGCCAAUGCUUUUGCAUUAGAACCAAUUUCCUUAGGCACUUCAAAAGAGACUUGGGUACCCUCGUUUACAUGAUUGAACCAAGUGGGAAUUUGUCUUCCUACAAAACUCAUGGUUCCACCUCCUGUCCAUCCCUAUACCAUGUGGAACAAGAUUUGUGUGAGUACUACAUACAUAACACACAUAUUUGUGAGGGGGGAAGAGAGGGGGGUGGUGUGGAAGAGAGAGAGUACCUGUAUCGUGCUAUCCUUAAGAAGGAAAUCCAUGACAUUGUUGUGUGUUGUCAUAUAAAGAUUGAGUCCCGAGUUUAACGCGCUAUCCAAGCCUGGAAACUCAAUGAGUUUCGGGGAAAAAAGAAUCACUGCUGUCGACAUGCCUGAAAAAUCUGGCAUUCUUUCUAAUACAGAGCAGUCGUCCAUGUGCAGGAAACCCAAACUUUUUGGUAAAUCUGUAAUCUCAACAAGGUUUCUGCAACCAUUCAAGGAUAAUACAAGAAGCUUGGAGAGGCCACUGAGGCUUGGAAGGCUCCCAAAAUUAUUGUCAUCUAGACUUAACUCCACUAAACAAGGUAGACUACUCCCAAUAUCAUUAGGCACUUCCUCUAUAUUGCUGUCCUCCAAAAUUAAGCUUGUCAAAGAGCGUAAACCUUGUAAGGAAGGUAGCUGCAAAGAACACUUCAAUUUACUCAAAGAUAUGCGCUCGAGCUUCUCUAGUCGUACGAUGGAAGGUGGUACUUUUUUUAUGGCCGUCCCAUCUGCAUAAAGAGUGACCAAUGAUGCCAUUUCUCCCAAGUGCUCAGACAAGCUUUGGAAUCUUGAACAACCAUCGAGAACAAGAGUUUUGACAGAUUUCAACUUGUAGAAACUCCUCGGAAGAGCCUUAAGCGUUUCACAGUCCUUCAAAUUCACCAACACAAGACUCUUGAGAUCUCCGAUGGACUUGUGAACUUUAGCCAACCUCUUACAGUCUUUGAGUAUCAAUUUCUCAAGAUUUGGGAAUUUCGAAAAGUUUGGCGAUUGUGUUAGAUCGUGGGAGUGGCUGAGAUUCAGAAUCUUCAACUUAUCAAGCAACUGUUAAGAAAAAUCAAGUUGAAAUAAAAAAUUUAAAUCCAAAAAGAAGAUACAAAAAACAUAAAAAUAAUUCCAAAUUUGGUUCAGGUUACGCAUUGUACUUACCCCAGAAUACCCACAAAGAACUUGUCUGAGGCUGCUGUACUGCAUGUCGAUAACAACUGUGUUUGGUUGACAAAGUUCUAUUGGUAUGAACUCCAAUGGGAAUCCAUGCCAGCACAACCAUCUUAAUUUUUUGGAAAGAUAUUGGUAUUGCCCAGUGAGCCGAACGUAGUUUAGUUGGAGCAAUCUCAGUCUCUUCAUAUUUCUAAACGCCUCAGUACUGAAACUAGUCUCUUCAGGACUUGGCAAAUUCAAAGCCAGACCUUCAAUUUUUUCAGUUCCCUGCUAUCCGAAAAAACAGACUCCAAAUAAGAGAAGGCUUUGCAUGAAAAAAAGUAUAUUACUAACUUACAUAUGCUUACACAUUUAACAUAAAGUUUGAUUGGGAAAGUACUUACAAAUUUGUCUAUCAAUACAUCAUUUACAUCUUCAGGAUGCCACAAUCUACUCCGUUCUAUAGGGAAAUCAGGAUUUUCUGCAUGCACGAUAUCUCUGCCCAUAUCCCGAAGCAAAUCAUGCAUCAUAAUCUUGUUUUCUCUAUUAAUAGUUACAAGGCACCGGUCAAGGAGGACCUUGAUUCCUGUUGUUGCAUAAAAGCCACAACCAUCCAAGAUUUGUAUGACAUCGUUCUUGUUCAUUCCGAUAAAAAAACAAGCUAUAUCGAGGAAUAUCCGCCUUUUGUAAUUAUCAUUUAGCCUGUUGUAGCUUAUUUUCAGUUGUGCCUGAAUUUCUGCACGAGGAAUUAUUUUCAAUUCAUCCAAUAUACUUCUCCAUUCAUCUACGCUUCGUUUGAAAAGAGUAGAUCCUAAAACUUCAAGAGCCAGCGGCAAUCCUCCACAGUAAUUGACAACUUCUCUUUCGAGCGCAAGAUAUUGACUAGGACAACUACUACUUCUGAAAGCAUGCCAACUUAGGAGCUCAAGAGCUUCUUCUCGGUCCAUUACUUUCGCCUGAUAUAUCUUAUCAACUGCAAAUUCUUUUAGCACACUUUCGUUUCUAGUUGUGAUGAUGAUUCUGCUCCCCGGGCCAAAAAAGUGGCAAUUUCCAACUAAUUCGCGUAAUUGCUUCACAUCGUCUACAUCAUCAACUAUGACAAGUACCUUUAAGCGUCGAAAUCUUUCCCUUACCAAGGCGGUCCCUGCAGCAACACUACUUACCUUUGUCUUGGUUUGCAAGAUAUCAAAAAGAAGUUGUUUUUGCAAUUUUUCUAGUUUCUUUUCCCUCACUUUUUCAAGGAAACUUUUACCUUCAAACCUUUCAUAAAAUUCGUUAUAAAUGGCUUUAGCAAUUGUUGUUUUACCUAUUCCACCCAUGCCUGAAAUUCCAAUCACACGAACAUCAUCUGAAUCUCCGAUGCCUAAAUAAUUACUGAUAUCUAGCACUCGAGUAUCUAUUCCGACUUGAUAGAGCGCUACGUCAAAGUAUUUGUUGUUCAACUUCGUAGUGACGUCAUUGGUAAUCAUCCUGAUAAACUUUGCUUCAUGCCUGGCAUUAGUCAAGUUGAGAAGCAAAACGAAGAUUGUUAUACAACGAAAUCGAACUAAUUAAUACACAAAAUUAUUUAUCAUGACUAGAGAUUUUAAUUAAGACAAUUUUUUUUGAGGUGGUGUGUUUAAACUUAGCAAACAUCAAUUAAAAUUAAAAUAAAGAAACACAAACAAAAAAACCAGCAUCCCUUCCCUCCGCAGCCAAUCGCCGGCAGCUUCCCAGCUGUGAUUAGUGUAGCCUUAACAGUUUAAGCUUUAUUGUAUGAUUUUAUUACAGAGGUCUAAGAAAUCGUAUGAUUCCAAAUUAAUAAGCAAAGGUACGUUAAAGCCUUAAUUCAUAAGAAAAGAAAUUAGAAAGUACCCGUCUAAAGUGUUUCUGAGAUCCCAGCCAGACAAAUUCGAAGCUUCAGUAAGAGCAGCUCUCCACCUCUCUACCUUUUUUCAUCUGUAUGUUUCAGAAACGAUUGUGCAAAACUACAAGUCUGUUUCCUAACAUGCGAAGGAUCAACGUCAUAGAAUAUUGGCAAAACUAAUUGCCCUAGCGUUCUUCUACACUCCAUGAUCUUAACCAGCUCCUCGAGACACCAGCUGGAGUCCGAGUACCGUCUUGAGAAGACGAUGAUAGAGAUCCUAGAACCCUGGAUUGCAUGCACAAGUUCGGUAGUUAUAUCUUCUCCUCUUCUUAGUUCGUCGUCAAUAAAGGUGUUGAUUCCGGCCUUUGUCAAUGCUUCGUGGAGGUGGCCCACGAAGUUUUUACGUGUGUCUUCACCUCUGAAGCUUAUGAACACUUCGUAGAGCAAGCCUUUUGAGAAGGAAGACAUGGAUGGGGAGGUGGAGGCGGAUGAUGAGGAUGAGAUUGAGGGUGAGGAGGUGGAGGAGGACGAUGAGGAGGAGGUGGAGGAGGACGAUGAGGAUGAGGGCGAGGAGGAGGAUGAGGACGAGGUUUUAUCGGGGACGGAGAUAUUCAUUUAGCGAAAGACGAGGCCUAGGGAGUAGAGGAGGAAGAUGAGGACAUCAUAGACAAGAUCGGAAUUGCGAGCCGUAAAGUGGUUGGACACUAACACCAGCACCAAAGUUAACAGCUUCCCUAAGCUCGACCAGGUAUCCAUUUCCUUCAUUUUCUUUAUGCAAAUUGAAGGUUUUUGGCUAUAUUGAUUUUCUUUCUUCUGCAGGACUUCAUUGCAAGAGUUAAUUUGAAAGUACCCUAUUGCAAAAGGGAUCUGACUUCUCUGCCUUCCCACUUCCCAUACAUUCUGAUCCCCUCUUAUUUGUGCGGUCACGGUUAAGCCACGUCAACAUUUUAUAUUACUAUUGACUUUUGUCUUAUUAUCUUUAUAAAAAAAUUAAUAUAAAAUAUUAACGUGGCUUAACCGUGACCGCACAAAAUAAGAGGGGAUAGGAGUGUAUGGGAAGUGGGAGGAGAAAAGUCAGGUUCAUUACGGAAUCUCGGAUUAUGACGACCUCUACCAGUCUUCGUAUUCAAUUUUUUAUGACGACCUCUACCAGUCUUCCUAGUCAAUUUUUUAAUUCAACUUACAAGUUUGGUAGAGAGUGCCAAAUGCAUAUUUGCAGGGUUCUCACUUUCAGUAUGGCUAAAUAUCAAGGAAAAAUAUAUAUUUAUAGACAAUCUAUACUAUAUAUUAAGAAAACCCUCCUUGUCAAAAUUUUCCCCAUUUUUCCAAUUUUGCCCUCACUUUUGAUACACAACCUUGACAAAAAGGAGGGCAAAAUAGUAAUUUUGCAUCUUUUGAGAAAAUGACAAUCAUAUCCCUAUUUUCCCUAUUUUACCCUCACUUUUGAUACACAAUAUUUACAUAAAGAGGGCAAAAUGGUAAUUAUGUAAUAUUAAGAAAAAUAUGCCCUUAUUAGGAGAUCUCAUCAUCAUUGUCUCAUACUCUUUUUAAAAAAUUUAAAAACUAAUCACACUCCUUAAUCUAAAAUAAAAAAGAAAAUGAAAUUGUUCACACACAAAGUGUGUGCUCAUCUUCUAGUUUGGUAUAAAAUAAUCGAAGUUGUUAUGGAAAAUGGCAUCAAGGAUGUUAGAGCAUCCCCAAUGGGGGCUUUAUCCUCCAUGAGGCUACCACAUUUUUAGCCUUAGCGAGAAAUUUCAUCCUCAAUGAGCCAGAAAAUGGGGCUAGAUCCACCACUAGGGCUAGUAACUUCAUUUCUUGGGUAGCAUAAAAUCAGGCUACAUCUAGCCCCAAAAAACAGUGGGUCCCACAAAAAAAGUAGCAACCUAUGUGAGCAAAAUUCUAUCAUUCUCCCUCCACUUGCGAAUACACUCAUACUCUCAUUUUAUUAUUUUUUAAUUCUUUUUUCUUACUUACUUUGCUUGCAAUUUGACUAAUUAAUGAUUGUUUUAAAUUCUAUAAGAAUUAAAAUUUCAAAUUGAUUUAACGUUCAUGAGCAUUGAUGGGUGAAAUUUUCAAAUAUUUUUUUUCAAAAUUAUAUGAUACUAAUUUACCAAUUGGUGUUAGGUAAAAUUAUUGUAUUAUACGUGAAAAUCAAAUUAUUUCAGAAAACGAAGUGAGGGUUUAUUUCUUAUAAUAAAUGAGAUUGAGAUAAGGGAAUCUAAUCUAACAAACAAUUCAUAAGUGAUAAAAUCUAACUUUGUCACAAUUUGAACUUUGUAGGUGGAAGGGUUAAAUUUAAGAUAGCACGUCCAAAAAUCAACUUAAGAAAAGCUAACACAAAAAAAAAAAAAUUCAUUGCUUAAUCAAAUUACUACAUAAAUAAAUAUAUAUAGCCCAUAUAGAGCCCGAAAGAUAUAGCCCCUCAUUGUGAGAGAUUCUUUUAUACAACCCCAAAAAUUUCUUGGAACUAUAAAAUGGGUUGUAUCCAUCACUUUUCCAGCCCCAUAUAAAAUAUUAAAACCCCUCACUGGGGAUGCUCUUAGGAUUGGUAGUUUAAUAGUGGCCUUGUCUUUCAUCAUCGUUACCAUCCGUAGUAGUUGAAGAAUGACUCUGAUAUAUGUCCAACCACUUUGGAUUUAUAUGUCCAACCACUUUGGAUUUACUUGUGCUCUUACUUUAGAAUGUUGAAAAUUCAAACUGCAUCAAAACAACAGAUCAAUUGAUUUUAAAUGUUUAUUUUUUCACAAUUGAUGUUACUUAUUUUUAAGCUAAAUUAAGAGAAUAUAAGUAUUUUAAUUUAUAAUGAACUUAAGUCAAACAAAAACUAUCUAUUCACAAGGACAAUCCACCGCCUUACAUAUCAAACCUUGUACCAAACUCCUUCUAGACCACUCUUCCAUAUGCCCCCGGACCCACAGAAGUGUUUUAGGCUGAACUAGAAAAUGUGCCCGCGCUUCGCUGCGGGGGUUGAAUGCAUCUGUUGUGAGCUUGAAUAAUUUCCACAGAAAGUGGGCAAAAUGGUGGUAGGAACAUAAUCACAUUCUCAAAUGUAGCAAUUCAGUUACCAUAUAUUUGAGUUGAGUGAAUCCAACAAAAUCACCAAUCAACAUACGCAUCGUAUCAGUAAUCAAAAAUUGAAAAUUUAUCAAUUAUUUUCAAAUAUUCAAUAAAUUAAACCACACAAAAUUAAAAAAUAUAUGACGCGACCCUACAGCGACAACAAAUUGAUUUCUCCACUGCAGAGAGGUUGAUCACCAGAAGCAGGGUCAAUAAUGGCCAGCCUCUAAUGAGCAAAGAAACAAUCUCCAGGCUGGCAUAGGCCACUCCAAUUCAGGUCAACGGGGAUUCAAUCUAUCAAAUCCAUUCAUGCAGAUUGAUUACCUGAUUGGUAUUGAAAAGGAAACAAAACCCCCCCAAUUUUUUGAAAUUUAGAGUAGGAUGGAUCGCUUACCUUUAGCAAAGCGGAGGAACGUUGGUGGUGCGGAGGGACUGGUGGUCCAGCGCAAUUCGCUAGAUUUGAGAGCGAGAAAAGGCUCUCCACUGCAUUUUCCAUGCAUUCAAUCAUCAAAUUGUAGUUCGUUUCAAUUGAUUUCUGCUGAAAUUUAAAAAAUUAAUAAACAUUUCUAAAAAUAAAAGUAAACUUCAAGCUACAGACAGUUUGACUUGAAUGGCUUCAGCUGGAGCUAAGUAGGCUUACAGUGGGUGAAUCAAAGGGAUAAAGACACUGCAAUUUUCAGCUUCAUACCAAAGGAUAGACAAAGCACGACAGCAUGUUGCUAACUAAUUGUUCAAUCGAACUGAAAGGAAAAGUUGCAGGACAAAUAGCUCACUAAAGAAUCCCAUGUUGAGGACCUUUCCAGGCACGCUUUAUUCAACAGAGCUUUCAGGUUUUCAGUUUUCAGCUUAUCUUGAAAUUCAAUGCGUCGGGAAUCAGGGAUUUGCUGAGGCAGGUAAGAGUAACACAAGCAUCCAGUCAAUUCGAUUUGCUGAGGCAGUUGCAGUUGCAGGUAUGAGUAAAGUCAUGACAAAUUGUGAAUGGAGGAGAAAUACUAUUACCAUAAUCAACCAUAAUAUGUAAGUAGCCGAAUGUUUAGCCUGUGCUUGGUAGUCAUCGAAGCUAUUAUCUGGAAUGAUGGAGCAGGAGUCGAGGAGCUGUAACUCGUUAUUCAUAAAGAUUCUGAAGUCGUCAUUCAUGCUGUUAUUCUGCUUCGCAUGGCUGGACAGACCAGUAUGAUCAGUUAUGAAAUGCUUUAUCCAAAAUAAGAAAGGAAGCGGCGAUGAAGCCAUAGAGCCUGUUUACAGUGAAUACCACAGAAAUUAAAACUCGGGGGGUUCUCAGAUGAUUAGUGAAAUAUACAAAAACACCCCACGUACCUCUCUUCCUAUGUAGUGCUUUAUCAACAUUUCAUCCCAAUCAAGCUCUUCCUGACAUGACCACAUUUGACACAAGUAUCAACUGUAAACGUUCAUGUAACGAAGAUAGUACAAUAUAAAAAGUGCUUGCCCAUAGGAACUCAUGGUCAUAAUUACUGAAAAGAGAUUAAAGAAGAUUUGUACCUUCCACAGCCGAUAUAUCUCAACACUGUAACCAGAAGCUGAAAUCUCUUGUUUAUAGCAUUCGUCCUCUAAAUCUUACGCAUCAGCCGCUGCAAAAUGAUAGAAACAUUGAUUGUGAGGGGAAUUAAAGUCCAGCACAUCGACAACUUUGUCUCUCAGUAUCACAACAAAAGGAAAGCAAGGUCUCACACUGCGAUAAUGGGAGCAACUAUGAUCAGCAACAUGCAAGGAGGCCCAGGUUCGGGAUCUUUCUAAUUCAUGUAGCAACUGCAAGCACAAAUUUAUGGUGCAUAUAACUCAUCAUAAACACGGACGAGAGAGAAAAAUGGAUAUGUAUGGUACAAAUACGAAUCUCGGAAUAUGAAACUGCAUAAAAUCAACAAUUACUCUCAAACUAUCAGUCACAUUUGUUGAGAAUGAAGGCUAAAAAUAAUUCUCUGCUUAUCCUUUUCAAAUGUAUAGGAGUGCAAUUUGGCUCAGAAUUGUUUACAUCACAUAUAAAUAUGAAAUUCCUAGAAGGAAACCUGAAUUAUUCCCCGGAUAAGAAAAAUCGAGAUUAGAUCUAACCUGUUCUCUUGUCAUGUAGGAAACCAACCAGCAACGGUGGUUCCAUGCACGGUAAUUCAUUUUUGACCUCUGUAAAGAAAGAUUUUGAAUUACACAAAAGUGAACAAUGACAAGGAAAAUUCUCACAUAAGAAAAUUGUGGAACAUAUGAAAUGCCCAUACAGAAUAACAGUUGCUAUUGAAACCAUGGACACUGAUCCACAUCACGUUUGGAAAAGAGAGAGUGAAUUACAACUAUUAUCUGUACUAGUUUGAUACAGAUAUUUAGCAGCUCAGUAGGAAACCUUAUUUUGCAGACAAGAUGACUGCCAGAUGCACACAAUUAUAAAAGUGCACAAUGUGUUGGGGUGACGGAAGUCAUUUCUCAAGUCUUUUAUGCGGUGUGUGUGAGUUAUGUUGUUUUUCCCUACGAAAGCAAUAAUGAGACUGAACAAAAACAACAUAUAAGAUAAUUGAAUUAAAGUUUAAAUAAACCUUUGUAAAUUAAAAGCAUGCAGUUCCUGAACUGAAUUUAAACCUCAGCUAUUUUCUCCACCAGCUCAGAGUCUUUGGUCACAAUCUCCGACAGAGUUGAACACUUUCCAGCAAUCGACUUGAUGACCCACUGCCUGCAAUGAUCGAUAUGUUCUUAAAAUUCAAUUAUUAAAGUCAUUACAUGGGAAAACUAUAAUGAGGGACUCGAUUAAACCCUACCCGGCUGAGUACUUAUAAAUAAGAAAGUAUAGAAAUCAUGCCAGUUGUUAAGCAUAUAACGGAAAACUUCUGCUAAAAAUGCUACCUAUGGCUCCAAGCAUACUCAAACUUAGGUGAAUAUGAAAGAACAAGUGCUGACAAGAGAAGUUCAUCCAAAAAUGCUGAGUGCUUAUGCUUCUGCGACACAACAAGCUUCCUGCAUCACAUAUACUAGACCAAGUAGGUGUCAUGACAUAAAUUGAAAAGCAGACAAGAUCAAGAAGAUCCAAAAUUAUUGAUAUAUAAUUAUAGUAAAUAAUUGCACAUCAAAAACUCUAGAGGAAGAUAGAUGAAUCUCCAUGUCAGGAAACCAAAGAACAUGACGCUACAAAGGACCGUUGCUUCACAUGCAUAUCUGCUACUAUUUUAAAACAAUUAUGUUAGAACAAGUGUAAGAGAGAGGAAAAAGCACUACUGAACCGAAAAUGAAAAGGGGGAAAACCUGGAAUGCCAUGCAGUGCCGAAAUCACUACUUAGCAACAAAAGCGCCCUGCUAUGCUUCAUGACGUCACUUUCAAAACUAUUAUCCAAAGAUAAUGACACAUACAAAGACUUCUCAUCCCCAGAUACAUCUGAUCUGCUGUUAAGUGCCUUCUAUUGUCUACUUGCUGCCAUAAACGCAUGCUUAGAAGCUUCAUAUAACGGGAAAAAAAAUUGCGUUGAAAUCCCCAACUUAUGAUCCCCAUUCCAAAAAACUGAGUUGCCAUUAGCUGAGCGCAUCACAGUACUGCCAUCAGAUGAGGGUGAGAAAUGGACUGCCUCUUUAUUCAGCUUGGAAAAUUGGGACGGGUGAAGAAAUACCACUUCAUCUCUGGGUUCAAUCAAGAGGAAAGAACAAUAUAUAAGACGAUGGCAUUACUACAUAUUCCAAAAACGUAACUGAGAACCCUUCCAAAAUUAAAAAAGAGAACACCUCUACACAAAAUCAUAAUGCACCCACACACACACACACACACACACACACACAAUUCAAAAACUUUCAGCAUAAGAAUAAGGCAUACUUGGACCGAAAUCGAAAUUCCAGAUUCGGUAACAGUAAUGAACUAACACUGAAUCAACAUUUUGAAUUUGAACUAACACUGAAUGGACAUUUUCCAAAAAAUAUGAAAUCCCAAGUAAAAUCAAGCUGUUACUUUUACAUAUGCAUGGAUCAACUCAUUUGGGAUCAAAUAUCUGUACUUUUCGACACGGAAAUUACACUUUGUGUACACCAACCAAGCACGAAUAAAACCUAUAUAUACAAAACUCUAUGGGGCAUUUCAUCGAACACAAAGUCUGCAUCUUUACUGAAAACAGAGAAGCUAAACCUGAAAUCACUGAUUAUCUACUAACAUACUACUAACAUACAAGUCAGAAGAUCGACCGUGUCUGCUUCGGAACGACGCAGCUCCUCUCCUUCCAUAUUUUCUGUUUGUUUCCCGAGAAAAUCCAAGGGAAAGGAAAACCCGAGGGAAAAUGACAGCUUUAUACUAUGUUGGAACAAAAUGGUAAAUUAAUUAAAAAAAGAAGUACGUGGAAGUUUUUUAUUAGUUGUUGAAAUAAGUUGCAUGAUGCUGGCCGUAGAUGAUCCAGUUUCGGGCCAAUGUCACACUGACACGUAUACACCAUUCUUCGACUUUUAUUUUCUUGUAUAAAAUUUUGGAGCUGCUAUGGCUAUUCAGAAGAGAAUGCUUUGAAUAAUGAUAUAUUCUUCUCAAUAAGAGGAACUUAUAGGUGUACAACCCUAACAUAAAAGGAAAAAAAACUAAUAACAAGUGAUUACAUGGGAUUACAUAUCAAUUAGGGAUCCUACCUAAAAUACAAAAGUCAACACUCCCCCUCAAGUUGGUGCAUAUAUGUCGCUCAUGCCCAACUUGUGUAAGAAACUUGAAAACUUGUGACUCGAAACAGCUUUUGUGAGGAUAUCUGCCAACUGAUCUUCAGUUCUUAUCGCCGGUACUUCAAUUAUUUUCCCUUCCAAUUUUUCUUUGAUGAAGAAUCGAUCAACUUCAACAUGCUUUGUUCUAACAUGUUGUACUGGAUUAUCUGCAAUGUCACGAGCAGCUUUAUUAUCACAAAAUAAUUUCAUGGGCUGAUCAUGUUGUAUACCCAAAUCACUUAACAGAAGCUUAAGCCACAAAAUUUCACAAAUCCCCAAAGCCAUACCUCUGUAUUCUGCUUCUGCACUGGAACGGGCAACCACAUUCUAUUUCUUACUUCUCCAUGUAACCAAGUUACCCCCAACAAACGUAAAGUAACCUGAUGUUGAGCGUCUAUCAUCAAUAGAACCUGCCAGUCUGCAUCAGUAUAACCUUCAACACUAAAGUGAUUAUUCCUCUUAAACAAAAUUCCUUUGCCCGGACUUCCCUUCAAAUAUCGCAAUAUUCUCAUCACGGCAUUUAUAUGUUGUUCUCCAGGAUCAUGCAUGUAUUGACUCACUACACUCAAGGCAUAAGCAAGGUCCGGUCUUGUGUGUGCCAAAUACAUCAACCGGCCUACUAACCUUUGGUAUCUUCCUUUGUCAACUGGUACUUGAUUAGGAUCAACACUAAGCUUUAAUCCUUCUUCUAAUGGUGUAGCUAAUGGCUGACAAGCUGACAUGCCAGUUUCGUGCAACAAAUCAAUAAUAUACUUCCUUUGAGACAAGAAAAUUCCAGAACUGCUUCUCGACACCUCAAUCCCUAAAAAAUAUUUUAGGGAUCCAAGGUCCUUCAUUUCAAAUUCUGCAGACAGGUAUCUUUGCAAGGCCGCACGUUCUUCAGGAUCAUUACCUGUUACCACCAUAUCGUCUACAUACACAAUAAGUGCAGUAAGCUUCCCAUUCUGUCUUUUCAGGAACAAAGUAUGAUCAGAGUUACUUUGUCUGUAACCAAAUGCUCUCAUAGAUUUUGUGAAUCUUCCGAACCAUGCUCGAGGGGACUGCUUCAAGCCAUACAAGGAUUUCUUCAACCUGCACACUUUUCUUUUGUAUUUAUCUGGAGCAUUACAUCCCGGUGGAAGAUCCAUAUAAAUCUCUUCUGUCAAGUCUCCAUGCAAGAAGGCGUUCUUCACAUCGAACUGUUGUAAGGGCCAAUUAAGAUUUGCAGCCAAGGACAACAAAACACGAACUAUGUUGAUCUUGGCUACAGGUGCAAAUGUAUAUGUGUAGUAGAUUCCAUAUUUUUGAGUGUAUCAUUUGCUACCAGUCUUGCCUUGAAACGAUCCACCGUCCCAUCUGCUUUGUAUUUCACAGUAUAGACCCAUUUGCAUCCCACAGGUUUCUUGCCAGCUGGCAAAUCUGUGAUCUCCCAGGUAGCAUUCUUCUUCAAAGACUUCAACUCUUCAUUCAUUGCUACUUGCCAACGUGGAUCAGUUAAAGCCUCCUGCACACUGUUAGGAAUAGAUACAGUAGAUAAUUGAUGUACAAACGACUUAUUUGAUUCUGACAGGUGACUGGUAGACACAUAAUUACUUAACGGGUAUAACACAUUAGACUCAAGGUUGGGCUUACUCACCGGAUACCUAGUUUUGCAUUUAGGGUCGGCUUCAUAAGUAAGUUUAGGAAUACCUCGGUUGACGCGAUCAGGGAGAUGAUGUGGUGGUGGUGCAUCCGGGAUCGAAGACGAUUGAUUAUGGUUAUUGGGACUCAAGAUCGACUGUGAGGUAGCUGGCGACACAGGGCUGUCUGGUGAUGAGGAAACUGGCAGUGAGCUAUCAGGCAGUGAGUUAUCUGGCGAUGUCGACUCGUCCCUUUCAAGGUUUUCAACAUUGUUUCCAUGUGAAUGAUCACCACUUGUCUCCAAGACAUUACCACUUAAUUCCAAUUCAUUCACAUCAUUAUUUUCGUGUGAGUGAUCACCACUUAUUUCCAAGACAUCACCAUUUAAUUCCAAAUCAUUCACUCUAUCUAUAUCUGGAAUAGUAUAAUCAAGAGUUUGAACUUCUUUCUGAUUCUCCCCCUGAAGUGAAGACUCGGGAUUGGCAAAGUACAUAUCAUUAUCAUGAAACGCAACAUCCAUAGUGACAAACAACUUAUUCGUCGGUGGGUGAUAACAACGGUAUCCUUUCUGCCUUGAUGCAUACCCCACAAACACACAUCGUAAGGCUCGAGGUUCAAGCUUACAUCGAUGUUGUUUAUGAAGAUGAACGAAGGCCAAACAACCAAACACAUGAGGUGGAAAAUUAGGGACUGCAUGAGCAUCAACAUGUGAAGAAAUUGCCUGAAAAGGUGUAUGAAAAUCAACCGAUCGGGAUGGAACACGAUUAAUGAGAUACGCAGCUGAGGUGAGAGCUUCUCCCCAAUAGCAUAACGGGAGACGAGCCUCGAGUAAAAAAGCACGAACAACCUCCAGAAGCUGACGGUUCUUUCAUUCGGCAACCCCAUUUUGUUGUGGAGUAUAUGGACAUGUAGUUUGAUGAACAAUCCCAUGAUGAUCAAGAAAGGCACGAAGUUCAGAGUUAACAUAUUCGCCACCAUUAUCACUCCUGAGAACCUGUAUUUGUGACUUAUAUUGUACUUGUACCAUUUUGUAAAACUGUUGAAACAAAGAAGUAACUUCACCUUUGGAUUUCAUCAAACAAACCCAAGUCAUACGUGUGCAGUCAUCAAUAAAAAUAACAAACCAAUGAGCACCACCAAAUGUAGCAGUUUUAGAUGGACCCCAAACAUCAGAAUGAAUUAUCAUAAAUGGAACAUAACUUUUAUUCAAACUGGAUGGAAACGAGGCACGAUGACUUUUAGCUAGUUCACAAACACCACAUUUAAAGCUAGAAACAUCAUGCUUAACAAAUAGGCUAGGAAACAACCUCCGUAGAUAACCGAAAGAAGCAUGUCCAAGUCGACGAUGCCACAACCAAACCUCCGAAGCUUUAUUCCGAUCCCCUGAAUUUCCGUCCACUGCAAGAGCUUGAGUCAACAUUCGAGAACUGUUUGAUGUCAGCUCCAAGUAGUAGAGCUUCCCUUUCCUAAUACCAUAACCAAUCGUCUUGCGAGUCCGAAUGUCCUUAAAAACACAAAAAGAAGGCCAAAAAAUCAAAAGACAAUGCAGGACGACAGUUAUUUGAGCAACAGAUAAUAAAUUAUAGUCAAGAGAAGGCACAACAAGUACGGUAUCAAGACUAAGGGUAUCUGAAAGGGAGACGGUUCCUUCCCCGAUAACAGGGGCAUGAUUACCAUUGGCGACACUGACGACAGUUUUGGUGGAUGGUUUUAGGCUACAUGUCUAAAAUCACAAGUCAUAUGUUCAGUAGCACCGGAAUCAAUUAUCCAUGUAUUAUUCGUAACAGAUGCAGAAACCUUUAAAGUUUUACCAUCGUUGUUUGUAUGUUCAGAAGCUACCUUAGCUUUGGCAAUCAAUGCACACGACUCAUUACAGGGGGGAUGACGAGUCCAAUGUGUCAUUGCUCUACGUGAGUUGAGUGCAACGUCUGAGGUGAUUGAUAGGGCCAAGAUUCCAAACCAACUAGGUCAACAAUGUGAGAUCCCUGGAACAAAAACAAACAGUAACACAAAAAAGGACAACCUUUUUUCCUUUUUCUUUUUUUUUUUUUUUUUUUUUUUUUUUUUUCUUUUUUUUCCUUUUUUUUUUCUUUUUUUUUUUUUUUUUCUUUUUUUCCUUUUUUUUUGAAUUCCUUCAGAACACGCAAAGCAAAAUAAAUGCACGUGGGGAGUUCCUUCAAAACACACAAAUCAAAAAAUAAAUGCAGGGAUCAUAUCAAAUCAGUUUAGCAGAACACAGGUUGGGCUGCAGAUGGUAUGAUGAGUCAAAUGCGUAGACGCCAGGAAGAGACAGAUCGGUUUCUGGUGCAGAAGAAAUCGUGGUUGUCAACCGGGAUUUGCAACGACAAGGUUUCUAGAUUAGGAUCUCGGUUUGUGGGAGUGCGAUGCAGCAACAGAUGGUAGUGGGUGACUGCAGGGAUCGGCUCAGUGAACUCGGAUCAGCAACGACGGCGUCGCUCGCUGGUGUGACAGUGCACUGCACAACUGGUUGCGCAACUAGUGAACUCGGAUCAGCAACGACGGCGUCGCUCGCUGGUGUGACAGUGCGCUGCACAACAAGCUGUGCAACUGGUGGUUCUUAUUUCUGCGCACAACGAGACUUUUUUCUUUUUUUCUAACCUAGGCUCUGGUGCCAAGAAGAGAAUGCUUUGAAUAAUGAUAUAUUCUUCUCAAUAAGAGGAACUUAUAGGUGUACAACCCUAACAUAAAAGGAAAGAAAACUAAUUACAAGUGAUUACAUGGGAUUACAUAUCAAUUAGGAUCCUACCUAAAAUACAAAAGUCAACAUAUUCUCUCUCUACAUCUCUCUCUCUCUCUCUCUCUCUCUCUCUCUCUCUCUCUCUCUCUCUCUCUAGGGUUCCGUGAUCUGUAUAUGCGUCUCGAUGGCUAUGGAAAUUGUGGUGGAUGCGGCGUCGUUUGACGCCGAGCUGUUGCAGCUCAAUGAUUUGUCUCCUUUGGCCCUCAAAUCGAAUCCGAGCUACGUCGAGUCGCUGUUCGAGCAGUGGCUUUCGCUUCCCGAUACUAAUCGCCUGGUACUUGAAAACCCAAUUUUUUUGUCUUCAAAAUUUGAAAUUUUUGGUGUUUUCGCAUUGUUUUGGUUGUGCAUCUUGUUGGGUUUCGAAGGAUUUAUGGGUGCAGUUUUUGGUUUUUGAAUUUUGGUGAGCUUGGUUUUUUGCUGUUGAAUUAAAAAUUUCUGUGUUUUUUCAUGUGUGUAUGUUUUGAGAUACACAUAAUUUGCAUGGAUUUGUAUAUGUGUUUGUUCUAGCCUGUGAAACCAGCAUGAGAGCUAAGAAAUAAUGAUGCUGAGUUGAUUUUAGUAUAUAUUGAUUUUCGUGCCCAUGGUAUUGAAUUUGUUCGGAAACGAUGACUUUGCGAUUAAUGAAGCAUUAAAGGGCACAUUUCAGUAUGGAAAAAGGGAUGAAAAUUGUAAAUUGUUAGCAAUGUUCGAAAUUACCUAAUGCCUUAAAGUAGUUACAAAUUUGUAAUUAGUUGUUGGAAAUGCUAAAGUUUAUAUUUUUUUUAAUUAGGAUACUGGAUACCUAUGAUUUACAUACUACAUAAUCUUUCAUCUUUUCUGAUGCAUGACAGUUUUUUCAUUUUCCCGACUCUAUGGUUGCAGGUGACACAAACUGCUAACUGAAGCAAAGGCAGGUAGGCCUCUGAAUGUUCAGGGAAAUUCUUCUAGUCCACAUGCCACUGCAGGCAGUACUUUGCCUUCUAUGUUUCCAACCAAAGUGGGACAAAGGGAAGGCCCCACAGUCCCGGAAAGAGACUCCACCUCUUCCAUCCUCUCGGGUGCGUUCAUCAGCCAGAUCUGAUGACAGGGCAGCUUUCAAGGAUGAUGCAUUGAAUGAGUUACGAGCAAAACGUUUGAAGCUGCAUGACCCUGAGGCUCACCGCAAGUUGAGAUAUGCUUCUCGUAGUGAAGAUGAUGGAUCAUCAGGGGAUGAUGCAAUGAUUGACAGUGAUGAUGAAAGGUCACAGGGACUAACUUUUGAUGUUAUAAAGGAGAUUACCAUUCGAAGGUCGAAACUUGCAAGUGGUUUAUGGAGCCCUUCUUGGAAGAGUUAAUUGUGGUUUGCGUUGUAAGGGUUGGAAUUGGGAGGUCAAAGUCUGGGACUAUCAAUGGUGGGAGCAGUACGGGCAGGCAUAGCAGCAACUGCAGCAGCUUUGGAAGCUGCGGCUGGUGUAGGGAAGUUGAUUGAUACGAGUGCCCCUGUUGAUUUUGGAAGAGAGUCAAAUCUAAAGCAUAAUUUUGAGCUGCCAAUAUCAUUGGCUGCUCUUCAGAAGUUUGGAAAGCCACAGGGUUCUUGGCAAGAAAGCAGCGAAUAGAAGCAAUAGUUGAGUGCCAAGUCCCAGAGAAUAAUGGGAGGAGGCAUGCGCUGAUGCUUACAGUUGGCGACUACAUGAGAAGAAGAGGGAUUCUCUGAACAUAUUAAAAACCACCACAGAAACAAGAAAGUUCAAAAAGAGAGAACAUAUUAAAAACAGAUCAAGGCAUGCAAAAAAAUACAGACUCUAUCUGCAAACUAGCUGAUUAAGCCAGAAAGUUUCCUAGCUUACAACUAUGUUUGGUUGACACAGUUUUGUUGGUAUGAACUCCAAUGGGAAUCCAUGCCAGCACAACCAUCUUAAUUUUUUGGAAAGACAUUGGUAUCACCCAGUGAGUCGUACGUAGUUUAGUUGGAGCAAUCUCAGUCUCUUCAUAUUUUUAAACGCCUUGGUACUGAAACUAGUGUUUUCAAGACUCGGCAAAUUCAAAGCCAGACCUUCAAUUUUUUCAGUUCCCUGCUAUCCGAAAAAAACAGACUCCAAAUAAGAGAAGGCUUUGCAUGAAAAAAAGUUAGAUUACUAACUUACAUAUGCUUACACGUUUAACAUAAAGUUGAUUGGGAAAGUACUUACAAAUUUGUCUAUCAAUACAUCAUUUACAUCUUCAGGACGCCACAAUCUACUCCGUUCUCUAGGGAAAUCGGGAUUUUCUGCAUGCACGAUAUCUCUGCCCAUAUACCGAAGCAAAUCAUGCAUCAUAAUCUUGUUUUCUCUAUUAAUAGUUACAAGGCACCGGUCAAGGAGGACCUUGAUUCCUGUUGUUGCAUAAAAGCCACAACCAUCCAAGAUUUGUAUGACAUCGUUCUUGUCCAUUCCGAUAAAAAAACAAGCUAUAUCGAGGAAUAUUCGCCUCUUGUAAUUAUCAUUUAGCUCGUUGUAGCUUAUUUUCAGUUGUGCCUGAAUUUCUCCACGAGGAAUUAUUUUCAAUUCAUCCAAUAUACUUCUCCAUUCAUCUACGCUUCGUUUGAAAAGAGUAGAUCCUAAAACUUCAAGAGCCAGCGACAAUCCUCCACAGUAAUUAACAACUUCUCUUUCGAGUGCAAGAUAUUGACUAGGACAACUACUACUUCUGAAAGCAUGCCAACUUAGGAGCUCAAGAGCUUCUUCUCGGUCCAUUACUUUCGCCCGAUAUAUCUUUUGAAUUGCAAAUUCUUUUAGCACACUUUCAUUUUUAGUUGUGAUGAUGAUUCUGCUCCCCGGGCCAAAAAGUGGCAAUUUCCAACUAAUUCACGUAAUUGCUUCACAUCGUCUACAUCAUCAACUAUGACAAGUACCUUUAAGCGUCGAAAUCUUUCCCUUACCAAGGCGGUCCCUGCAGCAACACUGCUUACCUUUGUCUUGGUUUGCAAGAUAUCAAAAAGAAGUUGUUUUUGCAAUUUUUCUAGCUUCUUUUCCCUCACUUUUUCAAGGAAACUUUUACCUUCAAAUCUUUCAUAAAAUUCGUUAUAAAUGGCUUUAGCAAUCGUUGUUUUACCUAUUCCACCCAUGCCCGAAAUUCCAAUCACACGAACAUCAUCUGAAUCUCCGAUGCCUAAAUAAUUACUAAUAUCUAGCACUCGAGUAUCUAUUCCGACUUGAUAGGGCGCUACGUCGAAGUAUUUGUUGUUCAACUUAGUAGUGACGUCAUUGGUAAUCAUCCUGAUAAACUUUGCUUCAUGCCUGGCAUUAGUCAAGUUGAGAAGCAAAACGAAGAUUGUUAUACAACGAAAUUGAACUAAUUAAUACACAAAAUUAUUUAUCAUGACUAGAGAUUUUAAUUAAGACAAUUUUUUUGAGGUGGUGUGUUUAAACUUAGCAAACAUCAAUUAAAAUUAAAAUAAGAAACACAAACAAAAAACCCAGCAUCCCUUCCGUCCGCAGCCAGUCGCCGGCAGCUUCCCAACUGUGAUUAGUGUAGCCUUAACAGUUUAAGCUUUAUUGUAUGAUUUUAUUACAGAGGUCUAAGAAAUCGCAUGAUUCCAAAUUAAUAAGCAAAGGUACAUUAAAGCCUUAAUUCAUAAGAAAAUAAAUUAGUAAGUACCCGUCGAAAGUGUUUCUGAGAUCCCAGCCAGGCAAAUUCGAAGCUUCAGUAAGAGCAGCUCUCCACCUCUCUACCUUUUUUCAUCUGUAUGUUUCAGAAACGAUUGUGCAAAACUACUAGUCUGUUUCCUGACAUGCGAAGGAUCAACGUCAUAGAAUAUCGGCAAAACUAAUUGCCCUAGCAUUCUUCUACACUCCAUGAUCU
RNAcentral lists this long non-coding RNA (34149 nucleotides) under Malus domestica (apple). RNAcentral describes it as "long non-coding RNA (MDOM_LNC011684)". The record is from RNAcentral. Lineage: Eukaryota; Viridiplantae; Streptophyta; Magnoliopsida; Rosales; Rosaceae.